RNAcentral lists this ribosomal RNA (252 nucleotides) under uncultured bacterium. RNAcentral describes it as "partial 16S ribosomal RNA". It matches the Rfam family "Bacterial small subunit ribosomal RNA", at positions 524 to 776 of the family's 1533-position model. The record is from RNAcentral.
UACGUAGGGUGCAAGCGUUAAUCGGAAUUACUGGGCGUAAAGCGUGCGCAGGCGGUUAUGUAAGACAGAUGUGAAAUCCCCAGGCUCAACCUGGGAACUGCGUCCGAUACUGGCAGGCUUGAAUCCGGGAGAGGGAUGUGGAAUUCAGGUGUAGCGGUGAAAUGCGUAGAUAUCCGAUGGAACACCGGUGGCGAAGGCGGCUUACUGGGUCUCUACUGACGCUGAGGCACGAAAGCUAGGGUAGCAAACGGG